ACACCUCAACUCUCACGGUUUGCCGUGAUGAGCUUGGACUUUGGGGGUUUUGCUGGCCUAUGGUUGGCUCCUCUCAAACGAAUCAGCUUGCCAGUGUUUUGGCGGCGUCAUGGGUGUGAUAACUAUCUACGCUCGCGAUCGUCUGCCAAGUGACCUUCAGUGAUGGAGGUUCGCUGAAGCUUACAAACGUCUCUCCUCAGCGAAGACAGCUUUUUGAAC
This 219-nucleotide unclassified non-coding RNA is filed under the name uncultured Thelephoraceae. Its description in RNAcentral is "sequence contains ITS2". Lineage: Eukaryota; Fungi; Basidiomycota; Agaricomycetes; Thelephorales; Thelephoraceae. The record is from RNAcentral.